ACAGCAGCCGCCGCGGUAAAACGUAGGGUGCGAGCGUUAAUCGGAUUUACUGGGCGUAAAGCGCACGUAGGCGGAUCGUUAAGUCGGGGGUGAAAUCCUGGAGCUCAACUCCAGAACUGCCUUCGAUACUGGCGAUCUUGAGUCCGGAAGAGGUGAGUGGAACUCCUAGUGUAGAGGUGGAAUUCGUAGAUAUUAGGAAGAACACCAGUGGCGAAGGCGGCUCACUGGUCCGGUACUGACGCUGAGGUGCGAAAGCGUGGGGAGCAAACAGGAUUAGAUACCCCAGUAGUCCCUGUCUCUUAUAC
Molecule: ribosomal RNA, 305 nt
Filed under: uncultured bacterium
Lineage: Bacteria
Description: partial 16S ribosomal RNA
Rfam family: Bacterial small subunit ribosomal RNA
Source: RNAcentral